Molecule: ribosomal RNA, 487 nt
Filed under: uncultured bacterium
Lineage: Bacteria
Description: bacterial SSU rRNA
Rfam family: Bacterial small subunit ribosomal RNA
Source: RNAcentral
GAUGAACGCUAGCGGGAGGCUUAACACAUGCAAGUCGAGGGGCAGCAUAGGGUAGCAAUACUCUGAUGGCGACCGGCAAACGGGUGAGUAACGCGUAUGCAACCUACCCUGUACAGGGGGAUAACCCGGAGAAAUUCGGACUAAUAUCCCGUAAUAAUAUCCGGAGGCAUCUUUGGAUAUUUAAAGUUUCGACGGUACGGGAUGGGCAUGCGUAACAUUAGCUGGUUGGUAAGGUAACGGCUUACCAAGGCUAUGAUGUUUAGGGGUCCUGAGAGGGUGGUCCCCACACUGGUACUGAGACACGGACCAGACUCCUACGGGAGGCAGCAGUGAGGAAUAUUGGUCAAUGGGCGCAAGCCUGAACCAGCCAUCCCGCGUGCAGGAAAGACGGCCCUAUGGGUUGUAAACUGCUUUUCCAGGGAGAGAAACUUACGCACGUGUUGCGUGACUGACGGUACCCUGGGAAUAAGCAUCGGCUAACUCCGUG